This 216-nucleotide long non-coding RNA is filed under the name Elaeis guineensis (African oil palm). Its description in RNAcentral is "long non-coding RNA (EGUI_LNC039475)". The record is from RNAcentral. Lineage: Eukaryota; Viridiplantae; Streptophyta; Magnoliopsida; Arecales; Arecaceae.
AUACUAAUUAAUCCUACACUAGGAUCUAAAUAUGAUACAACAGCAUGCAUUUAAAUUUGAAAUUCAAAUUUGAAACAGUAAAUUUUUUACUGUACUGUGUUCAGAACACAUCACCUUUUACGGAUAGUCGAUCAUCGUAAUCUGAUCACCGUCGAGAGGCUCUGAUCAUCACAUCAUAGCCACACUAGUGUCUGGCCUCUGCGGAUCGUCCACACG